CGGUAGACGCUACGGACUUAAAAUCCGUCGACUUUAUAAGUCGUGAGGGUUCAAGUCCCUCUAUCCCCA
RNAcentral lists this transfer RNA (69 nucleotides) under Festuca vaginata subsp. vaginata. RNAcentral describes it as "partial tRNA-Leu". It matches the Rfam family "tRNA", at positions 16 to 71 of the family's 71-position model. Rfam says of the family: Transfer RNA (tRNA) molecules are approximately 80 nucleotides in length. Lineage: Eukaryota; Viridiplantae; Streptophyta; Magnoliopsida; Poales; Poaceae. The record is from RNAcentral. RNAcentral also lists the same sequence under 1 other name.